UUCCGGUUGAUCCUGCCGGCGGCCACUGCUAUCAGGUUUCGACUAAGCCAUGCGAGUUAUAGGGUCGUAAGACACUGGCGAACCGCUCAGUAACACGCGGAUAAUCUACCCCCAGGUGGGGUAUAACCUCGGGAAACUGAGGGUAAUCCCCCAUAGUCAUUAUAUGCUGGAAUGCUUUGAUGAUGAAAGUUCCGACGCCUGAGGAUGAGUCUGCGGCCUAUCAGGUAGUAUGUGGCGUAAAGGACCACAUAGCCGUUGACGGGUACGGGCCCUGAGAGGGGGAGCCCGGAGAUGGACUCUGAGACACUAGUCCAGGCCCUACGGGGCGCAGCAGGCGCGAAAACUGUGCAAUGCGCGAAAGCGCGACACGGGGAGCCUGAGUGCCUUGACUAAGUCAAGGCUUUUCUUAAGCCUAAAAAGCUUGAGGAAUAAGAGCUGGGUAAGACGGGUGCCAGCCGCCGCGGUAACACCCGCAGCCCGAGUGGUAGUCACUUUUAUUGAGCCUAAAGCGUUCGUAGCCGGUUUUGUAAAUCCUCAGACAAAUUCUCCCGCUUAACGGGAGAUACUCUGGAGAGACUGCGAAACUAGGGACCGGGUGAGGUUGAAGGUACUUCUGGGGUAGGGGUAAAAUCCUGUAAUCCUGGAAGGACGACCAGUGGCGAAGGCGUUCAACUAGAACGGAUCCGACGGUGAGGAACGAGGGCUAGGGGAGCAAACCGGAUUAGAUACCCGGGUAGUCCUAGCUGUAAACACUGCCCACUUGGUGUUGCUUCUUCUAUAGGGGGGAGCAGUGCCGGAGCGAAGGUGUUAAGUGGGCCGCUUGGGGAGUAUGGUCGCAAGGCUGAAACUUAAAGGAAUUGGCGGGGGAGCACCGCAACGGGAGGAGCGUGCGGUUUAAUUGGAUUCAACGCCGGAAAACUCACCGGGAGCGACCUUUGGAUGAGAGUCAACCUGACGAGUUUACUCGAUAGAAGGAGAGGUGGUGCAUGGCCGUCGUCAGCUCGUACCGUAGGGCGUUCACUUAAGUGUGAUAACGAGCGAGACCC
Molecule: ribosomal RNA, 1046 nt
Filed under: uncultured Thermoplasmatales archaeon
Lineage: Archaea; Methanobacteriati; Thermoplasmatota; Thermoplasmata; Thermoplasmatales
Description: bacterial SSU rRNA
Rfam family: Archaeal small subunit ribosomal RNA
Source: RNAcentral